Molecule: ribosomal RNA, 612 nt
Filed under: uncultured bacterium
Lineage: Bacteria
Description: bacterial SSU rRNA
Rfam family: Bacterial small subunit ribosomal RNA (bases 1-524)
Source: RNAcentral
CCUACGGGAGGCAGCAGUGGGGAAUAUUGCACAAUGGGCGAAAGCCUGAUGCAGCAACGCCGCGUGAGGGACGACGGCCUUCGGGUUGUAAACCUCUUUUAGUAGGGAAGAAGCGAAAGUGACGGUACCUGCAGAAAAAGCACCGGCUAACUACGUGCCAGCAGCCGCGGUAAUACGUAGGGUGCAAGCGUUAUCCGGAAUUAUUGGGCGUAAAGAGCUCGUAGGCGGUUUGUCGCGUCUGCUGUGAAAACUGGGGGCUCAACCCCCAGCCUGCAGUGGGUACGGGCAGACUAGAGUGCGGUAGGGGAGAUUGGAAUUCCUGGUGUAGCGGUGGAAUGCGCAGAUAUCAGGAGGAACACCGAUGGCGAAGGCAGAUCUCUGGGCCGUAACUGACGCUGAGGAGCGAAAGCAUGGGGANCGAACAGGAUUAGAUACCCUGGUAGUCCAUGCCGUAAACGUUGGGAACUAGAUGUAGGGACCAUUCCACGGUUUCUGUGUCGCAGCUACGACAUACGUUACCCGUCCGUCGGGUAGGUACGGCCGCGACGGACGUAAACUAACAAGAAGUAGUACGACGNGUAGACGACGCGACGACGACGACGACGGAGGAGG